RNAcentral lists this ribosomal RNA (1434 nucleotides) under uncultured organism. RNAcentral's name for it is "16S ribosomal RNA". It matches the Rfam family "Bacterial small subunit ribosomal RNA". The record is from RNAcentral.
CAGGCUUAACACAUGCAAGUCGAGGGGCAGCAUGGUCUUAGCUUGCUAAGGCCGAUGGCGACCGGCGCACGGGUGAGUAACGCGUAUCCAACCUGCCUUACACUCUUGGACAGCCUUCUGAAAGGGAGAUUAAUACAAGAUGUUAUCAUGAGUAAGCAUUUUCGCAUGAUUAAAGGUUUACCGGUGUAAGAUGGGGAUGCGUUCCAUUAGAUAGUAGGCGGGGUAACGGCCCACCUAGUCUUCGAUGGAUAGGGGUUCUGAGAGGAAGGUCCCCCACAUUGGAACUGAGACACGGUCCAAACUCCUACGGGAGGCAGCAGUGAGGAAUAUUGGUCAAUGGACGAGAGUCUGAACCAGCCAAGUAGCGUGAAGGAUGAAGGUUCUAUGGAUUGUAAACUUCUUUUAUACGGGAAUAAACGAAUCCACGUGUGGAUUUUUGCAUGUACCGUAUGAAUAAGGAUCGGCUAACUCCGUGCCAGCAGCCGCGGUAAUACGGAGGAUCCGAGCGUUAUCCGGAUUUAUUGGGUUUAAAGGGAGCGUAGAUGGGUUGUUAAGUCAGUUGUGAAAGUUUGCGGCUCAACCGUAAAAUUGCAAUUGAUACUGGCAGUCUUGAGUACAGUUGAGGUAGGCGGAAUUCGUGGUGUAGCGGUGAAAUGCUUAGAUAUCACGAAGAACUCCGAUUGCGAAGGCAGCUUACUAACCUGUAACUGACAUUGAUGCUCGAAAGUGUGGGUAUCAAACAGGAUUAGAUACCCUGGUAGUCCACACGGUAAACGAUGAAUACUCGCUGUAGGCGAUAUACAGUCUGCGGCCAAGCGAAAGCAUUAAGUAUUCCACCUGGGGAGUACGCCGGCAACGGUGAAACUCAAAGGAAUUGACGGGGGCCCGCACAAGCGGAGGAACAUGUGGUUUAAUUCGAUGAUACGCGAGGAACCUUACCCGGGCUUAAAUUGCAACCGAAUAUGGCGGAAACGCUAUAGCUAGCAAUAGCGGUUGUGAAGGUGCUGCAUGGUUGUCGUCAGCUCGUGCCGUGAGGUGUCGGCUUAAGUGCCAUAACGAGCGCAACCCUUGCCGAUAGUUACUAACAGGUCAUGCUGAGGACUCUGUCGGGACUGCCAUCGUAAGAUGUGAGGAAGGUGGGGAUGACGUCAAAUCAGCACGGCCCUUACGUCCGGGGCUACACACGUGUUACAAUGGGGGGUACAGAGGGCUGCUACCACGCAAGUGGAUGCCAAUCCCAAAAACCUCUCUCAGUUCGGAUUGAAGUCUGCAACCCGACUUCAUGAAGCUGGAUUCGCUAGUAAUCGCGCAUCAGCCACGGCGCGGUGAAUACGUUCCCGGGCCUUGUACACACCGCCCGUCAAGCCAUGGGAGCCGGGGGUACCUGAAGUGCGUAACCGCAAGGAGCGCCCUAGGGUAAAACUGGUGACUGGG